GAUGAACGCUGGCGGCGUGCUUAACACAUGCAAGUCGAACGGAAAGGCCCUGCUUUUGUUGGGUGCUCGAGUGGCGAACGGGUGAGUAACACGUGAGUAACCUGCCCUUGACUUCGGGAUAAAUCUAGGAAACUGGGGCUAAUACCGGAUAGGACCUCCUGCUGCAUGGUGUUGGUUAGAGAGUUUCGGCGGUGGGGUAUGGUCUCGCUGUUUAUGCGCUUGUUGGUGGGGUUGGGGCAUACAAGGGCUUUGACGGAUAGCCGGCCUGAGAGGGUGACCGGCCACAAGGGGACUGAGAUAGGCCCCAGUCGCCUACGGGAGGGAACAGGGGGAAAUUUUACACAGUGGGCGGGAGUGAGGGACAGCGGCCCCGUGGGCGUGAUGACCGUUUGCGGGGUAAAAACCGCUGUCGAGUGAGAAGGAGCGUUAGUGACGGUAACUGGUAAAGAAGCACCGGCUAACUACGUG
This 468-nucleotide ribosomal RNA is filed under the name uncultured bacterium. Its description in RNAcentral is "partial 16S ribosomal RNA". It matches the Rfam family "Bacterial small subunit ribosomal RNA", at positions 28 to 507 of the family's 1533-position model. The record is from RNAcentral.